Long non-coding RNA from Physella acuta, 1651 nucleotides. RefSeq lists it as uncharacterized. NCBI's taxonomy places the organism in Eukaryota, Metazoa, Mollusca, Gastropoda, Physidae. The record is from RefSeq and is a predicted model, not a curated record.
ACUGACCGUCCCAGCAUACACCGCGCGAAGGGAUUAACACAGAGACGGAAAUACCUGUCAGUGUUUUUGUUUUUCGUUUUAACGGAUUAAAUUGCAAGAGCCAAAGAUUACAGAAGACUAUUCAAAAACAAAAAUAUAGAAAAGAACAAAAACAGGGUUCAAGGAAGACAACCGAAUACUCUCAUAACCCUGGCGGCCCACGAGAGUUGAGGAUAUAAGCACAUCACAAUGGCAAACGCAAAGGCAGGGAUUAGCCGGGGCGUAGGCACAGUUUCCUCACAUACAAUAAAUCAAAGUGACACAACAGAAAAUCAAAGUGACACAACAAAAAGUCAAAGUGACACACCUAAACGUUCAGAAUACGCAACUGACCAGCAAAGGCUAGAGACAUAUAAGGAAUGGCCUCCAAAUCACCCCAUAAGGCCUGAGAGACUCGCUAGAGCCGGAUUCUGGUACAUAGAACAAGGUGACCGUGUCAGAUGUUUUCACUGUGGAGGGGGACUGAAAGAAUUUGAGCCUACCGAUGAUCCUGUAGCGGAGCAUAAACGGAUAUUUCCUUAUUGUGAUUUUAUAAACAAUCUAUCUGUUCAUUCGAAUACUUAGCCGUCCAGAAAGGCGAUAUUUUUAAAAAAUAUUUUUAAAACGCGGUUUUCAACGGAUGUACACACUCAUACAAAUAUUAUUUCAUGAACAUUUAUAGAUUUAAAAGUUAGUGAAAAAUUCAAAUCUUUGCGUAGUAAUUAGGUGACUCCAUAGUGCCAAUGAGGCGCUACCUUUUUAGUCUUAGCGAUAUCACAUUUGAAACUAAGGUUAUAACAAUAAAUCGUAUCGUAGACGUGUGUUUGGUGAUUUAAAAACAUAAUUAGAAACUUGGAGCAGGUAUACACGUUGUCAACAGCUGUGAAAAAUAACAAUGUCAAUGAACUGAAAAAGCAAUGAAAGCACAUUCAACACAUUAUAAUUAACUACUACUGUCAAAGAAUGACGAUGACAGUCUAUUUUUUUUUAUAUUAUCUACUGAAAAUAAAUAUUAUUGAGAGUAAAAGUAAGUUAACUUAACCCAUGCGACCCAGACGAUUCAUAAAGCAGAUAAAGUAGAAUUCAUCUGUUUCUGUGACUUGUCCUGUAAUGGGAUAUAAUACUGUCAACAUCAUGCCCAUUCGCCUUUACUUUCCCUAACCCAAGUCAGAUACCCAUCAGUAAUGUGAGGACUCAGUGACGUUAUACGGAGUUGAAUCUGGGAUCAAAACCCUAGAAUUUGAGGAAAGCAAUAAAUUAAUAUAUAUACAUAUUUAUGUAUAUAAUAUACAAUAUAAUAAACAUAACACCACAUAAUGGGCUGUACAUAAACAUAUAGAUGGAAACGUGACAAUAAUUAUGUUACAAAUGUGAAUAUAUUAAAAUAAAUAUAGUACAAUUUAGUUAAAUAGUAAAUAUUAAAACAAAAAGAAAUUGUUCAAAUAGAAACAAUAAUGAAUUGAGUCAGUGGCGUAGCGAGGGGGGGGGGGGAUGCGGACCACACCGGAUGACACCAUUUAGGGGGUGACACCAAGGCAAAAAAUAACAAAAUAUAUAGAGAUAAAUGAUAAUUCCACUUAAUUAAGUGAUUAAUUCGAGUGUUAAAAAGUCUUUUAACAGCAAAUUUGACAAA